UACGUAGGGGGCAAGCGUUGUCCGGAAUGAUUGGGCGUAAAGGGCGCGUAGGCGGCCUUCUAAGUCCGGUGUGAAAGUCCUGCUUUUAAGGUGGGAAUUGCAUUGGAAACUGGAAGGCUUGAGUGCAGGAGAGGUAAGUGGAAUUCCCGGUGUAGCGGUGAAAUGCGUAGAGAUCGGGAGGAACACCAGUGGCGAAGGCGACUUACUGGACUGUAACUGACGCUGAGGCGCGAAAGUGUGGGGAGCAAACAGGAUUAGAUACCCUGGUAGUCCACACUGUAAACGAUGAGUGCUAGGUGUAGGAGGUAUCGACCCCUUCUGUGCCGGAGUUAACACAUUAAGCAUUCCGCCUGGGGAGUACGACCGCAAGGUUGAA
RNAcentral lists this ribosomal RNA (376 nucleotides) under uncultured bacterium. RNAcentral describes it as "bacterial SSU rRNA". It matches the Rfam family "Bacterial small subunit ribosomal RNA", at positions 524 to 898 of the family's 1533-position model. The record is from RNAcentral.